AACAUUGACAAGCUUGGUCGAAUCUGCCUUGAUAUUCUCAAAGAUAAAUGGAGCCCGGCUCUGCAGAUUCGAACAGUUUUGCUGAGUAUUCAAGCACUUCUCAGUGCCCCAAACCCGGAUGAUCCACUGUCAGAGAACAUCGCAAAACAUUGGAAGUCAAAUGAAGCAGAGGCUGUAGAAACAGCAAAGGAAUGGACCCGUCUAUAUGCCACUGGGGCUUGACACGUUGGGGGGAGCAGGAUAGCCUAUGCCGCAGCUCUUGUUAACAGUGAAAUGGUUUGAUGCCAGGACUACCAAGUCAUACAAACUUAUAUGAUGUAAAUUUCUUCCCUUCCGUGGAAGCCACACAAUUUUAAUAUCAGUAGCUGCUGGAGUCUUCUCUUUUUCAUAAUUUAUACUUUCUUAUUAAAUCCAAUGAUUGGAUGAUUCCUGUGAAUCAUUAUAUUUUAU
RNAcentral lists this unclassified non-coding RNA (450 nucleotides) under Hevea brasiliensis (rubber tree). The record is from RNAcentral. Lineage: Eukaryota; Viridiplantae; Streptophyta; Magnoliopsida; Malpighiales; Euphorbiaceae.